AUGAUCCUGAGGUUAUGUAGGUCAUUGUGGUAUAUUCAUAUACCCAAAUUGAGCAUUGUGAGGCUUAUCCCGAGGACGAGCGUAUCCACGGGUGACUCGGGGGCUACGACCCUUCGACAUACCAGUUUUAAGUAAGCUUGCUGUUGGUGGCUUGAGGACGUCGGCAGUUCUGACAUAUCUAAAUAAUAGUAGGACAUUCCUGGUACUGUAUAACUAGUACUUGUCCUACUAGACUGCACCUAGACUUAUUAUGCUCUGAUUAGGAGUGUUUACGUUUGUAUCUAACUCCUAUCACUUCCUGUUUAGUAGUGCACUCUAGUAAUUUGGUUUUUGCUUAUUCGUACAUUUCUUUUCAUUAUUGCUUCCGCACUGUGUACAUGGCUACGUCACUCCCACGUGACGGCCAGCAUGCAUUGAUCUCAGUCGGGGUGUGUCAUUAAAAAUAUUGUCAC
This 452-nucleotide small RNA is filed under the name Malus domestica (apple). RNAcentral's name for it is "sRNA MD10G0091700". Lineage: Eukaryota; Viridiplantae; Streptophyta; Magnoliopsida; Rosales; Rosaceae. The record is from RNAcentral.